RNAcentral lists this ribosomal RNA (495 nucleotides) under uncultured bacterium. RNAcentral describes it as "partial 16S ribosomal RNA". It matches the Rfam family "Bacterial small subunit ribosomal RNA", at positions 28 to 507 of the family's 1533-position model. The record is from RNAcentral.
GACGAACGCUGGCGGCGUGCCUAAUACAUGCAAGUAGAACGCUGAAGGAGGAGCUUGCUUCUCUGGAUGAGUUGCGAACGGGUGAGUAACGCGUAGGUAACCUGCCUGGUAGCGGGGGAUAACUAUUGGAAACGGUAGCUAAUACCGCAUAAUAGUAGAUGUUGCAUGACAUUUGCUUAAAAGGUGCAAUUGCAUCACUACCAGAUGGACCUGCGUUGUAUUAGCUAGUUGGUGGGGUAACGGCUCACCAAGGCGACGAUACAUAGCCGACCUGAGAGGGUGAUCGGCCACACUGGGACUGAGACACGGCCCAGACUCCUACGGGAGGCAGCAGUAGGGAAUCUUCGGCAAUGGACGGAAGUCUGACCGAGCAACGCCGCGUGAGUGAAGAAGGUUUUCGGAUCGUAAAGCUCUGUUGUAAGAGAAGAACGAGUGUGAGAGUGGAAAGUUCACACUGUGACGGUAUCUUACCAGAAAGGGACGGCUAACUACGUG